This is a long non-coding RNA of Arabidopsis thaliana (thale cress), 383 nucleotides long. RefSeq annotates it as other RNA. The transcript has a single exon. The record is from RefSeq. Lineage: Eukaryota; Viridiplantae; Streptophyta; Magnoliopsida; Brassicales; Brassicaceae.
UGCAUAAUAGUCAACUAGAACUGGUUUAUCAGAGUUCACAAGCAGAUCCUCAAAUGAGUCAAAUGUCUGCUUCUUGGCUUCAAUCUGAAGUAUGAACAAGAAUGGUUUGUCAUUUAGUUCAAUCUAAAUCAAGAAGUAGAUAAAGGCACUCACUUUAAAUCAAUUCCAAACUCUAGAGAAAAUCAGCUAUAGAAACUAAAAUAAGAAAAAUUUCAAAAUAGGAAAGCUAUCAUCAGCUCUACCAUCAGAAGAAAGUUUGAAGCUUGAAUUCAAUAAUUCAUAGGGUAAAAUUAAGUAAGCUAGAAUUGAACAAAAUAUAAGCUUUGGAAAAAGAUGUUUAAGCAGAGAAAGGCGAUUACACGUCGAGGAGUGCAUCGAGUCGU